Molecule: ribosomal RNA, 460 nt
Filed under: uncultured bacterium
Lineage: Bacteria
Description: partial 16S ribosomal RNA
Rfam family: Bacterial small subunit ribosomal RNA
Source: RNAcentral
CCUACGGGAGGCAGCAGUGAGGAAUAUUGGUCAAUGGGCGCGAGCCUGAACCAGCCAAGUCGCGUGAGGGAAGACGGCCCUACGGGUUGUAAACCUCUUUUGCCGGGGAGCAACGUGCGCCACGUGUGGCGCCCCUGAGAGUCCCCGGCGACAAAGCAUCGGCUAACUCCGUGCCAGCAGCCGCGGUAAUACGGAGGAUGCGAGCGUGAUCCGGAUUUAUUGGGUUAAAAGGGUUCGUAGGCGGAGCGUUAAGUCAGUGCUAAAAUUGAGGGGCUCAACCCCUGCCCGCCAUUGAAACUGGCGACCUGGAGUGGAAGAGAAGUAGGCGGAAUGCGUGGUGUAGCGGUGAAAUGCAUAGAUAUCACGCAGAACCCCGAUUGCGAAGGCAGCAUGCCGGCUUCCGACUGACGCUGAAGCACGAAAGCGUGGGGAUCGAACAGGAUUAGAUACCCGUGUAGUC